UGAACGCUAGCGACAGGCCUAACACAUGCAAGUCAGGGGCAGCACAAGGAGCAAUCUGAGGUGGCGACCGGCGCACGGGUGAGUAACACGUAUGCAACCUGCCUGUAAGCGGGGAAUAACCCGUUGAAAGACGGACUAAUACCGCAUAAUACUAAAUUAACUGCAUGGUAAUUUAUUUAAACAUUUAUGGCUUACAGAUGGGCAUGCGCAUGAUUAGCUAGUUGGAGAGGUAACGGCUCCCCAAGGCAACGAUCAUUAGGGGUUCUGAGAGGAAGGUCCCCCACACUGGUACUGAGACACGGACCAGACUCCUACGGGAGGCAGCAGUGAGGAAUAUUGGUCAAUGGACGAGAGUCUGAACCAGCCAAGUCGCGUGCAGGAAGAAUGUCCUAUUGGAUUGUAAACUGCUUUUGCAGGGGAAUAAAGUGCAUCACGUGUGAUGUUUUGUAUGUACUCUGCGAAUACGGAUCGGCUAACUCCGUGCCAGCAGCAGC
RNAcentral lists this ribosomal RNA (494 nucleotides) under uncultured bacterium. RNAcentral's name for it is "bacterial SSU rRNA". It matches the Rfam family "Bacterial small subunit ribosomal RNA", at positions 30 to 518 of the family's 1533-position model. The record is from RNAcentral.